CCCUUAGAUGUUCUGGGCUGCACGCGCGCUACACUGAUGUGUUCAUCGGGUUCGACCUUGCCCGGGAGGGUUGGGUAAUCCUUUCAAAACACAUCGUGAUGGGGAUAGAUUAUUGCAAUUAUUAAUCUUCAACGAGGAAUUCCUAGUAAGCGCGAGUCAUCAGCUCGUGCUGAUUACGUCCCUGCCCUUUGUACACACCGCCCGUCGCACCUACCGAUUGAAUGGUCCGGUGAAGCCUCCGGAUUGGCGCGCACCUCGGUGCCGCCGAGAAGUUGGCUAAACCUUACCAUUUAGAGGAAGGUGAAGUCGUAACA
Molecule: ribosomal RNA, 314 nt
Filed under: uncultured eukaryote
Lineage: Eukaryota
Description: partial 18S ribosomal RNA
Rfam family: Eukaryotic small subunit ribosomal RNA
Source: RNAcentral